UAGCGUUGAGCCAUUCACGAUUGUCAUAUCUCUUUCGCCUUUUACUAAAGAGAUCAGCGAGCACGGCUCUCUAAAGGCGCAUAUCAACAAUCUUUGUAGGGCUUUUGCCU
Molecule: small nuclear RNA, 110 nt
Filed under: Volvox carteri f. nagariensis
Lineage: Eukaryota; Viridiplantae; Chlorophyta; Chlorophyceae; Chlamydomonadales; Volvocaceae
Description: U5 spliceosomal RNA
Rfam family: U5 spliceosomal RNA
About the family: U5 RNA is a component of both types of known spliceosome.
Source: Rfam by way of RNAcentral